Xiphophorus hellerii (green swordtail) is the source of this 140-nucleotide long non-coding RNA. RefSeq lists it as uncharacterized. The transcript has 3 exons. Lineage: Eukaryota; Metazoa; Chordata; Actinopteri; Cyprinodontiformes; Poeciliidae. The record is from RefSeq and is a predicted model, not a curated record.
GUCCACUUUCUUCCUUCUCCUCCUGGGAUCUCACAGUGGAGAGUAACUCCCUCUCCUUUAUAUAUCAGAGGCCAGUUUGGUGUCAGGGUCACAGUGGGUCGUUUGGGAACUGAUUUUCCUGUUCCUCCUUCCUGGAUCUC